CUUCAGCCUUCAGCUUUCAGCUCUUCAGCCUUCAACCUUCAACCCGCAGCAGAGUCCUCGCUGUCGGCGGACGGGAGAUGGGCUGAGGCGGAGCGGGACCAACCCAGGCGGUUACUGAGGCCACGAACUCGGGUUUCCUUGCUCCUCUUUGCCUCCGCCCCCUCUCCGUUUUUGGGCCCGCGCAGGCCAGGGAAUGUCCCGGCGGCGCCAUGCCUUACGUGGACCGACAGAACCGCAUCUGUGGCUUCCUGGACAUCGAGGAGAACGAGAGCAGUGGCAAGUUCCUGCGCCGCUACUUCAUACUGGACACCCAGCAGGGGAGCCUGGUGUGGUUCAUGGACAACCCGCAGAAUCUCCCGGUGGGUGCAGACUGUGUGGGCUCCUUGAAACUCACUUACAUAUCUAAGGUCAGCGAUGCAACCAAGCUGAGGCCUAAGGCAGAGUUCUGCUUUGUCAUCAAUGCCGGGAUGAGGAAGUACUUCCUGCAGGCCAAUGAUCAGCAGGACCUGGUGGACUGGGUCAACGCUCUCAAUAAAGCCACCAAGAUCACGGUUCCAAAAGUGUCCGACGGCCAGCAGAACUCCGAGAGCCACAAGUCUUUGCAGGACACGGUAGGACCCAAGAAGCAAGUGUCCUAUAAGACGGAGAUCAUAGGAGGAGUUCCCAUUGUGACCCAGACGCAGCAUGAAGGCAGCGAUGGUGCAGAGAGGGCAGAGCGGGAGGCCAUGCACCGCUCACACAGCCAGCUGCCCUACUUCCUGGGCAGGCCGUCCCAGGACCACACCGUCAUCAAGUCGGGCUACUGCGUCAAGCAAGGCGCUGUGAUGAGGAACUGGAAGCGACGAUAUUUCCUCCUGGAGGAAAACUCAAUGAGCUACUUCAAGUCCGAUCUGGAGAAAGAGCCGCUGAGGAUGAUCCCGCUGAAGGAGGUUCACAAAGUGCAGGAGUGCAAACAAAGUGACAUCAUGAUGCGCGACAAUCUGUUUGAAGUCGUCACCACAUCAAGGACAUUUUACAUACAGGCCGACAGUCCGGAGGAGAUGCACAGCUGGAUCAAGGCGGUCUCGGGGGCCAUUGUGGCCCAGCGGGGGCCGGGGAGGUCCGCUGCCACAGAGCACAGCGGGCGCUCCACAUUCUACCGCAGCUCCGCGGGGCCCCCCGUCCCUCGCUCGCCCGUAUCCGCCGUGCCACCCUGCCAGCCAGAGCGGGGGGUCGCCCUUGCGUGCGACCCACGCCCGCAGCCUGGCGUGGGACAGCGAGCAUUUCAUGAGCCUGCUGCCUCGGCCCGCUCGCAGCCGCACGCCGGCCCGCCUCUCCUUGCAGGAGGCCCGUCUGGCAAAGUGAGCGCCCGGGAGGAGUCGCCGUGGCGGCGGCGGAGCGCCUUCGAGCCGCAUGUGCCCGAGCCGCCCUUGGAUUUGGACGAGGCCGACCUGCCGGUGAGCGAGGUCUGAGCUGGACUUGUAACCGUAAUGGCGGACACAAAGACCCUAGAAGCUCCUGGUGCCGUGCUAGUUCUCCUCCACUCAACUGUGCUUGUGUGCCAAAGACCAGACCGUCUUCUUAGUUACCAUGGCGACCGAUGGAGACUUUUCAAGGUCAGACAACUUGCCCUCGCUUCUCUUCACUUCCACUAGCUGUGCUGAUGCUCUUCCUACUUCAGUCCACUCAUUGCGGAGAAAUAGUUCCAGGCUAGGAGGAGGAGGUUUUCUUCACAAUAAAACAGGCCAGGAAGAGGAGGUUUUCUUCACAAUAAAACAGGCUAGAAGGAAGAGGUUUUCUUCACAAUAAAACAGGCUAGAAGAAGGAGGUUUUCUUCACAAUAAAACAGGCUAGAAGGAAGAGGUUUUCUUCACAAUAAAACAGGCUAGAAGAAGGAGGUUUUCUUCACAAUAAAACAGGCCAGGAGGAGGUUUUCUUCACAAUAAAACAGGCUAGAAGGAGGUUCUCUUCACAAUAAAACAGACUAAAAGAAGCAAGAGGAGGUUUUCUUCACAAUAAAACAGACUAGAAGAAGCAAGCAGUGAUUUUCUUCACAAUAAAACAGGCUAGGAGGAGGAGGUUUUCUUCACAAUAAAACAGACUAAAAGAAGCAAGAGGAGGUUUUCUUCACAAUAAAACAGCAAGCAGAGGUUUUCUUUACAAUAAAACAGACUAGAAGAAGCAAGCUGAGGUUUUCUCCACAAUAAAACAGACGUGAAGCAAGCGGUGGUUUUCUUCACAAUAAAACAGGCUAGAAGGAGGUUUUCUUCCCAAUAAAACAGACUAGAAGAAGCAAGCGGAGGUUAUCUUCACAAUUAAAACAGACUAGAAGCAAGCUGAGGUUUUCUUCACAAUAAAACAGACUAGAAGCAAGCUGAGGUUUUCUUCACAAUAAAACAGACUAGAAACAAGCUGAGGUUUUCUUCACAAUAAAACAGACUAGAAGAAGCAAGCGGAGGUUUUCUUCACAAUAAAACAGAAUAGAAGAAGCAAGCGGAGGUUUUCUUCACAAUAAAACAGACUAGAAGAAGCAAGCGGAGGUUUUCUUCACAAUAAAACAGCAAGCAGAGGUUUUCUUCACAGUAAAACAGCAAGCAGAGGUUUUCUUCACAAUAAAACAGCAAGCAGAGGUUUUCUUCACAGUAAAACAGCAAGCAGAGGUUUUCUUCACAAUAAAACAGACUAGAAGAAGCAAGCGGAGGUUUUCUUCACAAUAAAACAGCAAGCAGAGGUUUUCUUCACAGUAAAACAGCAAGCAGAGGUUUUCUUCACAAUGAAACAGCAAGCAGAGGUUUUCUUCACAGUAAAACAGCAAGCAGAGGUUUUCUUCACAGUAAAACAGCAAGCAGAGGUUUUCUUCACAAUGAAACAGCAAGCAGAGGUUUUCUUCACAGUAAAACAGCAAGCAGAGGUUUUCUUCACAGUAAAACAGCAAGCAGAGGUUUUCUUCACAAUAAAACAGCAAGCAGAGGUUUUCUUCACAAUAAAACAGCAAGCAGAGAUUUUCUUCACAAUAAAACCGACUAGAAGAAGCAAGCAGAGGUUUUCUUCACAAGUAAACAGCAAGCAGAGGUUUUCUUCACAAUAAAACAGACAAGAAGAAGCAAGCAGAGGUUUUCUUCACAAUAAAACAGACAAGAAGAAGCAAGCAGAAGUUUUCUUCACAAUAAAACAGACACUGACAUCCAACUGGUGGCGUGUUGAGGACAGUUCCACCCCUCUAUCUCAGAAGUUAGAGUAAGUUGUGUUGUAUUAUUGUAUUAUUCCCGACCUGAGGAGCCAGUGCAGCUAUCAGAAGUGAAGAGAAGGUGCAGGUGGUGUGACUUCAGUGACCACUAAGUGCCAAGAAGAAAAGGGACCAUGUCUCCCAGGACUGGACUGAAUAAGCUGAGUGCUUCUUACACUCCUUAACACUGGAUUUCAUUUACCUGCCAGUCUUUUCCUUUUGGACACCUGCAAUCAGGCAUCAUAUCAAUGUGUGUGUGGCGGCCAUCUUUGAUUUUCUAACAUGCACUCAGAGCCUGUACGGUACAACAUGGCGUCACUUGAAACUCUCCUGUUUUUUUUGAGGGGUGGGCAUCCUAAUCAAUGACUUGAUUGAUUGGAAAGUUGGGAAUUGCAACCAUCCAUUUGUGCAAGGACUGUUGAAGAUUGAGUUGAGACAGAGUGCACUACUAUGCACCAACCAGCAGAGGCGCUGUUUGCUGGCUAAAGAUGGUUAACGGCUGAGCCAGUAAUGGAAGAAUUGUUCAGACUACAAGAUGAUUACAGGGAUUGUGUGCACAUCCCUACUCACUAUUUCUACAUCCUCUGUGUGUGUGUGUGUGUGUGUGUGUGUGUGUUGUGUUUGCAGACUCAAGUGAUUUAUAGGACAUUUGUAAACACAAUAUAGUCAAUGUGUUCCAGUAGCAGGCAGUUGCCAAACAAAUGUACAGUACUCACUAAACACCCGGAUUCAUUCCACAUCCAAGCUAUUUGAACCUGCUCCAAUCUGGUGUCAUUGCUCUGAGAUCUAUUUAUUAUGUGGAGGAAAUAAACCCUUGAACAUG
Molecule: RNA transcript, 4028 nt
Organism: Nerophis lumbriciformis (worm pipefish)
Lineage: Eukaryota; Metazoa; Chordata; Actinopteri; Syngnathiformes; Syngnathidae
Gene name: pleckstrin homology domain-containing family A member 1-like
Source: RefSeq, a predicted model, not a curated record